CCGUGCAAAGAUAUAAAAUUCAGAUUUCUUUUAGAUCUUUAAUCUUGUAUUUAAUGUUGAUGCCUGACUUUAUUUUGAGAUAUGAUCUCUUUAUACAUGCUAGAGUAGAUUAGAUUUAAUUGAAAAAUUAUUUUAGUAUCAUUCUGACAUAAGAUUGUCCUGACAUAAUGGUAGAAUAUUAUGUUCAACGAUUGCUCUAAAAUGAUGUUGAAGUAAUAUAAAAAAUUUUAUUUUCACUGCAUACUGUCUAUUUUUAAAAUUUUUAAAAUUUUUGUAUGCAUAUCUAUCGCCAUGUGAUGUCGAUAUCCAACACCACCACCAAGCCGUCGACUACCUCUUUGCUAGCCACAUAUCUUUUGAUGUAUCUUCACUGCCACCGGUGGUGAUGUGACCUCCAAACCAAGCUCCAAGAUCUCAACAACCACCCUGAUGUGCCCUGGGCCUUCGUGAUCUUUUGAUAAAUCUCAUGAUCCAAGUUUGGUGAACUCAUCCUCGGUAGGGCAAUGACGAGCAAGGGUGGUGAAUGCGACCGUCACGGCCACCACGAGGUUCAGGAUGGGGUGAUGGUGGUGGUGGGGAGG
RNAcentral lists this long non-coding RNA (581 nucleotides) under Elaeis guineensis (African oil palm). Its description in RNAcentral is "long non-coding RNA (EGUI_LNC001300)". The record is from RNAcentral. Lineage: Eukaryota; Viridiplantae; Streptophyta; Magnoliopsida; Arecales; Arecaceae.